This is a long non-coding RNA of Hemicordylus capensis (graceful crag lizard), 941 nucleotides long. RefSeq lists it as uncharacterized. Lineage: Eukaryota; Metazoa; Chordata; Lepidosauria; Squamata; Cordylidae. The transcript is spliced from 2 exons. The record is from RefSeq and is a predicted model, not a curated record.
UAAGCAGAAUGCCAAUAUAUUGUGUGUCCGAACAGUGGCAAUUGUUAAUGACCUUUAGACCAACCCAGCUACCGUUGUGCUUGGAUAGGAUGAGAAUUCACAAGUAUGAAAAUGGAUCUGAAUGAAUGAAUGGCCCUCUUCUGCAAGUAGUCAUAAAAUGUAUGGACAGCUCGAUUGUCCUAAAUGUAGGACUAAGCAUACCUGAACUUUAAAUUGUUUGGCUUGGCAUAUUUCCUAUUUGGCAAAUAUAGAGGUACUUACCCACUUGCCAGCAUCUGUAUUCCCCAGUAUUGUUCUGCCUCCUGGUUGCACUUUUUAUGUAUUUUCUUACAGUUUCUUUCAUCUGACUGAUCUCCACAGUCAUCAUCUCCAUUGCAUAGCAGCCUCCGAUUGAUGCAUCUUCCUACAACACAGAAUGGGAACAACUUCACUAAUAAUGUAAUCUUGUAUUGCCUUUUAGUUUAGAAAUCCUGGCCUAAACCAUGUGCUUCCAAGGCCCUGCUGUGGAUGCCGCUGGAAAACAGCAAUGAAGAAAGUGAUUAUCAAGUGGACUUAGGCCCAAUUUAACUCAAUAAAUAUUCAUAACUAAUGUAAUAGAAAAUGUGUUAUCUGAUCUACAUAGAGCCAUUAAAAAGAAUCCACCAGCUGACAAGAUAUACAGUGUAUAUAUAUAUAUAUAUAUAUAUAUAUAUAUAUAUAUAUAUAUAUAUAUAUAUAUAAAACAAGCAGUAUUGAACAAUGUACCAGUUAUGAUUUUAGAAGUAUGAGACUAUCAUGAGCACACACUCUGCCUCUGUGAUCCAUCCUUCUUAGUUUUUGUGGUUGUUUGAACACAUAUUAAAAAAAAACACAUUUUUGUGCUUUGUUUUCAUUUUUGCCAUGCCUAGAUAUGUAUAUAUCAGGAGGUAUAUAAAUCUGAUAAAUAAAAUAAAUAAAUACUA